This 985-nucleotide ribosomal RNA is filed under the name Chalaropsis thielavioides. RNAcentral describes it as "SSU rRNA". It matches the Rfam family "Eukaryotic small subunit ribosomal RNA", at positions 108 to 1105 of the family's 1831-position model. Lineage: Eukaryota; Fungi; Ascomycota; Sordariomycetes; Microascales; Ceratocystidaceae. The record is from RNAcentral.
AGUUAUCGUUUAUUUGAUAGCACCUUACUACUUGGAUAACCGUGGUAAUUCUAGAGCUAAUACAUGCUAAAAAUCCCGACUUCGGAAGGGAUGUAUUUAUUAGAUUAAAAACCAAUGCCUUCGGGCUUUCUGGUGAUUCAUGAUAACUUCUCGAAUCGCAUGGCCUUGCGCCGGCGAUGGUUCAUUCAAAUUUCUUCCCUAUCAACUUUCGAUGCGAAGGUCUUGUCUUCGCAUGGUUACAACGGGUAACGGAGGGUUAGGGCUCGACCCCGGAGAGGGAGCCUGAGAAAUGGCUACCACUUUUAAGGAAGGCAGCAGGCGCGCAAAUUACCCAAUCCCGACACGGGGAGGUAGUGACAAUAAAUACUGAUACAGGGCUCUUAUGGGUCUUGUAAUCGGAAUGAGUACAAUUUAAAUCCCUUAACGAGGAACAAUUGGAGGGCAAGUCUGGUGCCAGCAGCCGCGGUAAUUCCAGCUCCAAUAGCGUAUAUUAAAGUUGUUGUGGUUAAAAAGCUCGUAGUUGAACCUUGGGCCUGGCUGGCCGGUCCCCCUCACCGGGUGCACUGGUCCGGCCGGGUCUUUCCCUCUGUGGAACCGCAUGCCCUUCACUGGGUGUGUCGGGGAAACAGGACUUUUACUUUGAAAAAAUUAGAGUGCUCCAGGCAGGCCUAUGCUCGAAUAGUACAGCAUGGAAUAAUAGAAUAGGACGUGUGGUUCUAUUUUGUUGGUUUCUAGGACCGCCGUAAUGAUUAAUAGGGACAGUCGGGGGCAUCAGUAUUCAGCUGUCAGAGGUGAAAUUCUUGGAUCUGCUGAAGACUAACUACUGCGAAAGCAUUUGCCAAGGAUGUUUUCAUUGAUAAGGAACGAAAGUUAGGGGAUCGAAGACGAUCAGAUACCGUCGUAGUCUUAACCAUAAACUAUGCCGACUAGGGAUCGGACGAUGUUAUUUUUUGACUCGUUCGGCACCUUUCGAGAAAUCAAAGUG